Molecule: unclassified non-coding RNA, 1334 nt
Filed under: Hevea brasiliensis (rubber tree)
Lineage: Eukaryota; Viridiplantae; Streptophyta; Magnoliopsida; Malpighiales; Euphorbiaceae
Source: RNAcentral
GAAGAAUCAUGCAUGAUGAAAUCAUAAAAGCUACCGAUGGUUUUGAUGCUUCAUACUGCAUUGGGAAGGGAGGAUAUGGUAGUGUCUACAAAACAAGUUUGCCAUCAGGAAGCGUAGUAGCCGUGAAGAAGCUCCACUCAUUUCAUGACAGUGAGAGAACAUGUCAAGAAGAGUACAUGAACGAGAUAAGGGCAUCAACUGAGAUAAGACAUCUGAACAUCGUAAAACUUUAUGGCGUUUUUCUGUCUGCUAUAUACUCAUUUCUGGUUUAUGAGUACCUGAAUGGUGUUAACUUGGCCACAAUCUUGAAAAAUGACAAAGAAGCAAAAGAACUGGAUUGGAGUAAGAGAGUAAAUAUUAUUAAAGGUGUUGCCAAUGCCCUGUUUUACAUGCACCACAACUGCUCACCGCCAAUUGUUCAUGGAGACAUAACAAGCAAAAACAUUUUGCUUGAUUCUGAGUAUGAGGCUCACGUAACAGAUAUUGGGACUGCAAAGCUUCUAAAUAACGAUUCAUCCCAUUGGACUGCUCCAUCAGGCACACACAACCAUCUUGCACCAGAGCUUUCUUACACAACGAAGGUGAGUGAAAAAUGUGAUGUUUAUAGUUUUGGAUUGGUAGUACUAGAAGUGGUCAAAGGAAAACAUCCGGGUGAAAUCUUCUUCUCUAUGUCAUCCCCUUCAUCUCAGAUGCCACUCUUGGAAGAUAUUCUAGACCAACGCCUUCCAACUCCUUCUCCUCAAGUUCAAGAAGAACUAAUGACAAUUGUGAAGGUUGCAACUACAUGUUUACACAGCAAUCCACAAUUUCGUCCGACUAUGCAUAUGAUUUCUGAGAUUUUAGAAGCUUAAACUUCACUUUUCUAAAUCUAGUAGAUUAAUAAUACUAUAAUCAAAGUACUUUUCUUGUAUUAUAAAGGUUUAUAGUAAUUCAAUAACCUGGCAACAGCUUCUUAAUAGACUUGAAGAAUUUGUGGCAUUCUUCUAAUUUUCAUUGUGCAAGUUGUGAUUUGGGCUGUCGAAUUUGUUUUGUUGGGGGCUGCCUUUUUGUUGUUCUGUAAUUGUGCUUUGUAAUGCAGAAUGCAUUUUGGCGAUCUUAUCAAGCUGGCAGGAUUUCUUGGCUUCUUAGUGUUGCUUUGCAUAUGGAUUUGCUGAUCAUUAAGCUCCUUCAUUGUUUCAGCAGGGACUCAUUGCUAGCGGAUGUAAUUCUAUUAUUUUGGGUCCUAUUCUACAGUGUUUUGUCUACUUCUUUGUUAUUGUACUCUGCUGAUUUCUUGUUUUGUGUUUUUGCCUGCAAUGGACCGUCUUGACUCUAGAGGGAAACACAACUCAAGA